This 407-nucleotide ribosomal RNA is filed under the name uncultured bacterium. Its description in RNAcentral is "partial 16S ribosomal RNA". It matches the Rfam family "Bacterial small subunit ribosomal RNA", at positions 30 to 526 of the family's 1533-position model. The record is from RNAcentral.
AUUGAACGCUGGCGGCAGGCCUAACACAUGCAAGUCGAGCGGCGCGGCAGCCGGGUGAGUAAUGCCUAGGAAUCUGCAUGGUCGUGGGGGAUAACGUUCGGAAACGGGCGCUAAUACCGCAUACUAUCAGAUGAGCCUAGGUCGGAUGAGCUAGUUGGUGGGGUAAAGGCUUACCAAGGCGACGAUCCGUAACUGGUCUGAGAGGAUGAUCAGUCAAACUGGAACUGAGACACGGUCCAGACUCCUACGUGAGGCAGCAGUGGGGAAUAUUGGACAAUGGGCGAAAGCCUGAUCCAGCCAUGCCGCGUGGAUGAAGAAGGUCUUCGGAUUGUAAAGCACUUUAAGUUGGGAGGCGUUACCAACAGAAUAAGCACCGGCUAACUUCGUGCCAGCAGCCGCGGUAAUAC